GAGGGUAUAGCUCAGUGGUAGAGCACAUGCUUACUAUGCAGGAGGUCCUGAGUUCAAUACCUUGUACCUCCA
Molecule: transfer RNA, 72 nt
Filed under: Camelus bactrianus (Bactrian camel)
Lineage: Eukaryota; Metazoa; Chordata; Mammalia; Artiodactyla; Camelidae
Also listed under: 2 other names
Rfam family: tRNA
About the family: Transfer RNA (tRNA) molecules are approximately 80 nucleotides in length. Their secondary structure includes four short double-helical elements and three loops (D, anti-codon, and T loops).
Source: Rfam by way of RNAcentral